Molecule: long non-coding RNA, 1069 nt
Organism: Orussus abietinus
Lineage: Eukaryota; Metazoa; Arthropoda; Insecta; Hymenoptera; Orussidae
Exons: 3
Source: RefSeq, a predicted model, not a curated record
AGACGAACUGUUAACGAGGAACAGUCGAAGCGUGGGCCAAUUUCGAGCCAUAAUUGGGAUCGGAAUUGCGAUUCAAAAGUGCAACUUCUAGCACCAAUGUCGCACAUCCUUCCCUCCCAAGCCGGAACAGACGUCUGGAUCAAUCGGAUUAUCCAUCGUUAGCGGAUGUCGAGACGUCACGUCCGGAACGUUAAGGUCCUGUUUCCGCGGCAAUUCCCCGGGGUAAUCGAGGUACUGGGAGGUACGCGGUUCCAGAGAUCUCGCCUCGAGUUGGAAAGCUAAUUGGAAAAGGGAGAUACCGAUUUGCUGCAAUUUUGAAAACAACGCUUGGGCCUGCUUCCACGUAAGUCGAGGUUUUAGGUGGUAUGCUGGUUAUCAGGGGGAGAAUUAUUGCCGGUGGACUACGUUAAUGCGAGUUGCUGUACUUUUGCAUCGCGGUGCUUCCGUUCCCUCGGCGUUCGACGGCCCUUGUUCUGAUCGUUCCUUCAUUCAUUCGUUCCACGUCUCAGAUAUUCGAGUAAUGUCCUCCCCUGCGCACCUUACACAUCCGAUCGAGCCCGCGGCGUGCUUAACCCUCCGUUAACGGUGCCCUGUAUUUUUCUUCCGAGCUCGCAAUUACGCCCCGGCUCUCGAGUAUAUUUUAUUUUGCGCUCCAAUUCGAUCGCUCGCCCUCGUUCCUAUCUGUCAUUGCCCUUUCUCCGCCCCGCCCGUUCCCUCGGGUGGCCAUUACUCUUCCUUUUCGAUAAAUUCGACCCGCGAAAGUCCACACCAAUCCAGAGAUGUCAUCGUCCAAAGGUGCCUCUACCUGUUCCUCCUUCUUCUUUCCAUCUCCUUUUCUACCUUUCGCGCAUACCGCCCCUCGUGCAUAUUCAUUUAUUGCACUUGAUACGAACUCGAUUAACCGGCUUCGUUUUCAAUCAAAAAUUUCAAUCUCGUUUCUCGGUCUGGAUUGUCCCAGGGUGUCCCGAUCGAUGUCAAACCAUUUUCCGAAAUACCGAAAAUGUGUCACUAGCGCGAUUACACUUUUUAAGGGUGAUUUUAUAUGAGGAAGUUGUGAAAGUUAGUUAAG